UACUCCUACGGGAGGCAGCAGUGGGGAAUAUUGGACAAUGGGCGAAAGCCUGAUCCAGCAAUGCCGCGUGAGUGAUGAAGGCCUUAGGGUUGUAAAGCUCUUUUACCCGGGAAGAUAAUGACUGUACCGGGAGAAUAAGCCCCGGCUAACUCCGUGCCAGCAGCCGCGGUAAU
This 173-nucleotide ribosomal RNA is filed under the name uncultured Pseudomonadota bacterium. Its description in RNAcentral is "uncultured proteobacterium partial 16S ribosomal RNA". It matches the Rfam family "Bacterial small subunit ribosomal RNA", at positions 334 to 524 of the family's 1533-position model. Lineage: Bacteria; Pseudomonadati; Pseudomonadota. The record is from RNAcentral.